This 253-nucleotide ribosomal RNA is filed under the name uncultured bacterium. Its description in RNAcentral is "partial 16S ribosomal RNA". It matches the Rfam family "Bacterial small subunit ribosomal RNA", at positions 524 to 776 of the family's 1533-position model. The record is from RNAcentral.
UACGGAGGGGGCGAGCGUUGUUCGGAAUCAUUGGGCGUAAAGAGCACGUAGGCGGCACGGUAAGUCCCAUGUGAAAGCCCUCGGCUCAACCGGGGAAGGGCAUGGGAAACUGUCGUGAUUGAGUGCGGGAGAGGAGAGUGGAAUUCCCGGUGUAGCGGUGAAAUGCGUAGAUAUCGGGAAGAACACCGGUGGCGAAAGCGGCUCUCUGGACCGUAACUGACGCUGAGGUGCGAAAGCUGGGGGAGCAAACGGG